UACGUAGGGAGCAAGCGUUGUCCGGAAUCAUUGGGCGUAAAGCGCGCGUAGGUGGCCUCAUAAGUCCGCUGUGAAAGUCAAAGGCUCAACCUUUGAAAGCCGGUGGAUACUGUGAGGCUAGAGUACGGAAGAGGCGAGUGGAAUUCCUGGUGUAGCGGUGGAAUGCGCAGAUAUCAGGAGGAACACCAAUAGCGAAGGCAGCUCGCUGGGACGUUACUGACGCUAAGGCGCGAAAGCGUGGGGAGCAAACAGG
RNAcentral lists this ribosomal RNA (253 nucleotides) under uncultured bacterium. RNAcentral's name for it is "partial 16S ribosomal RNA". It matches the Rfam family "Bacterial small subunit ribosomal RNA", at positions 524 to 776 of the family's 1533-position model. The record is from RNAcentral.